Molecule: long non-coding RNA, 827 nt
Filed under: Brassica napus (rape)
Lineage: Eukaryota; Viridiplantae; Streptophyta; Magnoliopsida; Brassicales; Brassicaceae
Description: long non-coding RNA (BNAP_LNC006607)
Source: RNAcentral
AUUGAUCGGAAAAAUAUACAAAGAGUGAUCACCAAUAGUUACAAUGAUUUUUUUUAAAAUUGUAAUGAUUUUUAUAAAUAGUUGUAAAACCUCAUCUAAUAAUAGCAAUGAUUCAUUUAAAUAGUUUUAUCCAUUAAAUCUACAACAGACCAUUCUAUAUUCUCACAAUUAAAUUACCGGUUUUGCCUAAAUAUGAUGAUUUUGUUCAAGAUCGUUGGAAUUUGAACAAUAUCCUACUGAAUAGUGUUUAUUUAUCUUUAAUUAUCACAUAAAUUUGUUUACUAUGGUACUGUAUAUUAGCGACAACUGUUUGAAAGUGAGAUUCACAUUUUUCAAUAGUUUAAAACUAUCUUGACAAUUUUAUUAUUUUCAAAUUGUUAAGAUAUUAUGAUUAAAAUUUGAUUUGAGAGCGUUUUGAAAUAUGAAUUUAGGAGAGAUGUUGUACAAAUUGUAAUAUACAGAGUUAAAAAAUAUUAGUUUUAAAAGAUGCAAUUUUCAAGUAAAAAUGAAGUUAUAAAAGAAAAAACAUAUAAUUUAUAGUCAAAAUACAUAAUCUUCAAUAACAUUAGUGAAGUAAGAUUUAAUAAAAAAAAACACAUUUGUAAAAAUCAUUUGUUGGGAUUCUAUAAUUGUGUUUGCCCGUUCAUAAUUCAAAAGCAUAAAAUAUACACUAAUACAUAGGUGCAAUAUAAAAAUGAGAGUUAUUAUAUUUAUAUUUGUAAUUUACUAAACUUUUUUUUUUGGUAAAAUAAUUUACUAAUUUAUAACAUUAUAAAUAUUUUUCCUAGAAACUCACCGAUGAAGUCUCCCACUUCUUUUUCAAGUCC